GUUUUUCACUGUUGGCAGAAGGCACGGCUUCUCUCUUUGCUAGCCUUCCUCUCUUGAGGCGUGUUCGAUCUGAAAGUGGCCGUGUUCGUGUUCCUUCUACCCAUUUAUAUAUGGCCCGAAUCUCUAAUCUUCCGCAGAGAGCCGAGUGCCAGACAGCGUCUCCUUUCUUUUUUCAAACGCAAAGACAUAAAACUUUUGAAAAAGCUACCAGAUAAGUUUGGGAUAGGAGACGAUGGUCUACCUGAGAGACAAAAUGUACUACACCAUUGUUUUGGAAAGAAAACAUCUGCCCUAAGCCUAAGCCCGAGCCUGAGCCUGAGCCUGAGCCUGAGCCUAAUCUUAUUGUCAUGUUUAAAGAUACUCGUGAUAGACGUGCAUUUUUUGUUGCAUUUUCCUCUAGAGAUAGAUGGCACCAUCUCACCCAAAUAUUACUUAUAUCUUCCCUCUAUUCUAGCAAAAGAUUAUCAUUUCACUUGGUGUAUCUGUAAUGGUCUACUUCAUCUUAGUGAUGGCAAGUUGGGUCAGGCUCUUUGGAACCCGGCAACAAAUGAGUAUAAGAUCCUCUGUGGAACCUCACCUUGAAUGUUUUAUUGAAAGGUAUGAAAUGGUGUUUGACCAUAGAUCCCAAGAUUACAAACUGCUGCAAUUUGUAAAAACUGGUGGUCAAGGUGAUAGACUUAACGCAAGUUGUCAGAUUCACUUGUACUUACUCAAAACUAAUUCCUGGAAGUGAAUACCAUUACCUUCCACUGGUGAGUUUGAGUUUGAUAUUAUCGAUGGAGGAAGGGCUUCUGCUUGCAUAAAUGGGGUUUGUUAUUGUUUAGCAUAUCCAAAAGUGGCUCCUUGGUCCAAUGUUAUCCUUGCUUUCGACUUUACUACUGAAACUUUUUCCACUCUACCCGCACCUGAAUCUGGCUUGGACCCUUUAUUAGACUAUAAAGGGUUGUUAUGUACUUAUAAACUCUGGGAGGAUGAAGACGCUCAUUCAGUUCCUAGUAUUCGUGACUAUGAAUUUUGGAUCAUGAGGGAUGGAUCAUGGACAAGAGAAUCUAUUUUCCAUACAUUGUGGAGCUGUUUCAACUUUCGCAGGAUGGUAAUUUAGUGCAUUUUUGAAGCAGCAUGCCAAAGGAGAUUGUUGUGUUUAAUCGUACCACUAGAAAGUUGAAGUAAGUCUCUUGACGUCUAUUGCCCUAGUUAUAUGUUUCCGUUUGUUGAGAGCUUUGUUCAACUCAAUGGAGUUGCAUGUAUCGACUUGCUUGAUGAGAAGCAUACAUGGAUUGACAACCUUAGCUUACUCGAAAGGGAGUUGUGACGGAAGCGGACAAGAGAGCAAGCAAUGGGAGGAUACGCUGCCGGACUCGGCUUUGUAAUUCGGUUUUCUGCAAUGGGGA
Molecule: long non-coding RNA, 1391 nt
Organism: Salvia splendens (bonfire salvia)
Lineage: Eukaryota; Viridiplantae; Streptophyta; Magnoliopsida; Lamiales; Lamiaceae
Exons: 4
Source: RefSeq, a predicted model, not a curated record